UACGGAGGGUGCAAACGUUGCUCGGAAUCAUUGGGCGUAAAGCGCACGUAGGCGGUCGGCUAUGUCGGAUGUGAAAGCCUCGGGCUUAACCCGAGAAGGGCAUCAGAAACUGGCCGGCUUGAGUACGGAAGAGGGUCUCGGAAUUCCCGGUGUAGAGGUGAAAUUCGUAGAUAUCGGGAGGAACACCAGUGGCGAAGGCGGAGACCUGGGCCGAUACUGACGCUGAGGUGCGAAAGCGUGGGGAGCAAACAGG
Molecule: ribosomal RNA, 253 nt
Filed under: uncultured bacterium
Lineage: Bacteria
Description: partial 16S ribosomal RNA
Rfam family: Bacterial small subunit ribosomal RNA
Source: RNAcentral